CCUACGGGCUGCAGCAGUGAGGAAUAUUGGUCAAUGGACGAGAGUCUGAACCAGCCAAGUAGCGUGAAGGAUGACUGCCCUAUGGGUUGUAAACUUCUUUUAUAUGGGAAUAAAAUGUUCCACGUGUGGGAUUUUGUAUGUACCAUAUGAAUAAGGAUCGGCUAACUCCGUGCCAGCAGCCGCGGUAAUACGGAGGAUCCGAGCGUUAUCCGGAUUUAUUGGGUUUAAAGGGAGCGUAGGUGGAUUGUUAAGUCAGUUGUGAAAGUUUGCGGCUCAACCGUAAAAUUGCAGUUGAAACUGGCAGUCUUGAGUACAGUAGAGGUGGGCGGAAUUCGUGGUGUAGCGGUGAAAUGCUUAGAUAUCACGAAGAACUCCGAUUGCGAAGGCAGUUCACUGGACUGCAACUGACACUGAGGCUCGAAAGUGUGGGUAUCAAACAGGAUUAGAUACCCGGGUAGUC
RNAcentral lists this ribosomal RNA (460 nucleotides) under uncultured bacterium. RNAcentral's name for it is "partial 16S ribosomal RNA". It matches the Rfam family "Bacterial small subunit ribosomal RNA", at positions 338 to 795 of the family's 1533-position model. The record is from RNAcentral.